This 119-nucleotide ribosomal RNA is filed under the name uncultured bacterium. RNAcentral describes it as "partial 16S ribosomal RNA". It matches the Rfam family "Bacterial small subunit ribosomal RNA", at positions 1384 to 1500 of the family's 1533-position model. The record is from RNAcentral.
UACACACCGCCCGUCACACCAUGAGAGUCGGGAACAACCCAAAGUCCGUAGCCUAACCGCGAAGGGGGGCGCGGCCGAAGGUGGGUUCGAUAAUUGGGGUGAAGUCGUAACAAGGUACC